CCAAUAGCGUAUAUUAAAGUUGUUGCAGUUAAAAAGCUCGUAGUUGAACCUUAGGCCCGUGCGGGCGGUCCGUCCUCAGGGCGAGCACUGCCUCGUCGCGGGUCUCACCUUCUGGCGAGCGUCGAUGCCAUUCACUUGGUGUCUUCGGGAACCAGGACCUUUACCUUGAAAAAAUUAGAGUGCUCAAAGCGGGCUCGUACGCUUGAAUACAUUAGCAUGGAAUAAUGAAAUAGGACGACGGUUCUAUUUUGUUGGUUUCCGGGAUUGUCGUAAUGAUUAAUAGGGAUAGUUGGGGGCAUUCGUAUUCAAUUGUCAGAGGUGAAAUUCUUGGAUUUAUUGAAGACGGACUACUGCGAAAGCAUUUGCCAAGGAUGUUUUCAUUAAUCAAGAACGAAAGUCAGAGGUUCGAAGACGAUCAGAUACCGUCGUAGUUCUGACCAUAAACGAUGCCAACUGGCGAUCCGCCGUGCCUUCGUCAAGGAGUCGGCGGGCAGCCUCCG
This 500-nucleotide ribosomal RNA is filed under the name uncultured Glomeromycotina. RNAcentral's name for it is "partial small subunit ribosomal RNA". It matches the Rfam family "Eukaryotic small subunit ribosomal RNA", at positions 591 to 1092 of the family's 1831-position model. Lineage: Eukaryota; Fungi; Glomeromycota. The record is from RNAcentral.